UUUAUUUGAGUUGUAGAGUAGAAUCUAAACUUGAAGAAAUGAUAGAAAAAAAGAAGCAUGAAAUUUAUUAUAGGGACCAGGAUUAGAUACCCUGUUACUUUUAAUUAAGAGGUUUUGGAAUAAUAGUAUUAAUGAAAUUUAACGGAUUUGGCGGCAAGAUAGCCCCUUAGAGGAACCUGCCCUGUAAACGAUGAACCACGAGGGACGUAACUUUCUUUGGUAAUCAGUUUGUAUACCGCUGUUGUCAGUUAGAUUCUUGAGAAUAUUUUCGUUUAUGAUAAUUUCAUUGACUUCAAGUAAAGGUGCAGCUUAUGUGAAAGGUAGAGGUGGGUUACAUUUAUAAGAAUAAAACGGAUAAGAUAAAUGAAAAGAUCUUUGAAGGUGGAUUUAACUGUAAAACUUAAGUAGGUUUGGUGAGAGCUCUAUCUUGUGUACACACCGCCCGUCGCUCUCUUUUUUAAAAC
This 464-nucleotide ribosomal RNA is filed under the name Tetraclita japonica japonica. RNAcentral's name for it is "partial 12S ribosomal RNA". Lineage: Eukaryota; Metazoa; Arthropoda; Thecostraca; Balanomorpha; Tetraclitidae. The record is from RNAcentral.